This 66-nucleotide antisense RNA is filed under the name Triticum dicoccoides. RNAcentral describes it as "lncRNA IsrR". It matches the Rfam family "Antisense RNA which regulates isiA expression", at positions 122 to 187 of the family's 187-position model. Lineage: Eukaryota; Viridiplantae; Streptophyta; Magnoliopsida; Poales; Poaceae. The record is from RNAcentral.
AGCACCUAGACCUAACAAAAUGAAGUGAAUACCCAAAAUUGUAGUCAUUUUAUUUCUAUCUUUUCA